CAGGAAAUAGUUUAUAAAAAUAUUAAUUUUGGAGAUUAAAGAUAGAGAUUUUUCUUUUUUCCUGA
RNAcentral lists this transfer RNA (65 nucleotides) under Curculio elephas. Its description in RNAcentral is "tRNA-Pro". The record is from RNAcentral. Lineage: Eukaryota; Metazoa; Arthropoda; Insecta; Coleoptera; Curculionidae.